UGCAUGAAGUCGGAAUUGCUGGUAAUCGCGGAUCAGCAUGCCGCGGUGAAUACGUUCCCGGGCCUUGUACACACCGCCCGUCACACCAUGAGGAGCCGGGGGACCCGAAGUCCGUAGCUUAACCGCAAGGAGGGCGCGGCCGAAGGUAAAACUAGGUGAUUGGGGUGAAGUCGUAACAAGGUACC
RNAcentral lists this ribosomal RNA (185 nucleotides) under uncultured bacterium. Its description in RNAcentral is "partial 16S ribosomal RNA". It matches the Rfam family "Bacterial small subunit ribosomal RNA", at positions 1317 to 1500 of the family's 1533-position model. The record is from RNAcentral.